Molecule: ribosomal RNA, 253 nt
Filed under: uncultured bacterium
Lineage: Bacteria
Description: partial 16S ribosomal RNA
Rfam family: Bacterial small subunit ribosomal RNA
Source: RNAcentral
UACGUAGGGUGCAAGCGUUGUCCGGAAUUAUUGGGCGUAAAGAGCUUGUAGGCGGUUUGUCGCGUCUGCUGUGAAAUUUCGGGGCUCAACCCCGAACUUGCAGUGGGUACGGGCAGGCUAGAGUUCGGUAGGGGAGACUGGAAUUCCUGGUGUAGCGGUGAAAUGCGCAGAUAUCAGGAGGAACACCGGUGGCGAAGGCGGGUCUCUGGGCCGAUACUGACGCUGAGGAGCGAAAGCGUGGGGAGCGAACAGG